This 3396-nucleotide long non-coding RNA is filed under the name Lactuca sativa (garden lettuce). RNAcentral's name for it is "long non-coding RNA (LSAT_LNC009270)". Lineage: Eukaryota; Viridiplantae; Streptophyta; Magnoliopsida; Asterales; Asteraceae. The record is from RNAcentral.
CUUGACUAGGUCCUCAUUCCUUAUCUCGACUAACAACCUCUCCAUUAUAUCACCCCUUCCUUUGCUCGAUGAUGCCAUACGCCUGUUCAUCUUCUUCACCAUCUAUAUAACCUCCCCUUCUCUCAUUCAUCUUUGACUAUCUAACGCCUUCGACCAACUGCUUCCCUCACCACCUCCACCGUAUUCUUUCUCUCAAUCUCAAAGCAUACUCCUUUUUAUCCCAUCAAUUUAUCGGUCUCGAUCUUAGAUUGGUUGGAUCAUACAAAUGAUAGUGCAAUAGUGAGGCUAAAGUAAGCAUCAAUCAUUGAACCCCCACCACAAGGCCAAGCGAAAAGCAUAUUAGGGUUCCUAUGAUUUGAUGAAGAUGGAAAAAAUGGUUUAUUCUCACAAUCGAGCCCUAAAUCAAUAUGGAAUCAAGCUUAUUUUUUUACUUUGUCAUUUGCAGUUCCAUCUCUCUUCAACUCUCACAUAACAAUGUCGAUCAUUAAGGUUUAAAUCACCUCCCUCCUAGAUUACAACAAGGUACGUUAUCCUUACAAAUUCCCUUUUUUGGUACAUUUUUAUGUUAUCACAGGUUAUCUAUUAUUAGUUUUUGUCUUUCUUUGAGUCUUAUGGUUUGUAUGUAUUACCUGACCAUCAUCAUCUGUUUUUCGUACACUCGAUAUUGAACAAAAUCAGGAUCAAACAAGAAUCAAGCAAGGCAAAAGUUGAUUCAAAAGCCAUUUACUCACUAAAGUUAUGUUUCAUUUCAUAUUCUAAUCUAUAUGUUAUGUAUACAUUUGUUUUGUGUAUUAGUUCUAUUUUUAUUAGAUUCUCAGAUUUUGUAGGUUCUUCAACCUUUAUGAUUGAUGGUGAAGUUUUUUUUUUCAAGUUAUGUCGAGUCUUAUAUAGCUUGCUUCAAUCUUUUCCUCUAAAAAAUGUGAAAUCUGCAAGUUCAUUGAAUAUUAGUUCCAUCUCCAUCAUCAUUUCACAAAAACAAAUCCAAUGGGCUAUUUAAUUUCAGUGUUCAAUGGAAUAGAAUGGGUUAUUCCAUUGAAAUGAAAAAAACAUCUAUUUUUGAGUUUGUUUUCUUCUUUAGGGUAUGUGAUUUGGGUUUUGUUCUCAUAUUAUGUGGUUUGGGUGUUAACUUUCAUAUGGGUAUCAAAAUUACUGUUUAGUUUUGAUUUUAUAAUUGUUUAAGGUUAAUACAAUUAAAUGGGCUAUCUAAGGACAAAGCGAGUUUACUAAAGUAAGCUUUUACAUAAGCUCUCUCUCUCUCUCUCUCUCUCUCUCUCUCUACUACCUGAUGCAUUAUCUAAGGCCAAAGCAACUUUACUAAAGUGUAAGGAGCUUGUAGUAAAGAUAAAGGAAGAUCCCCUUUCUAAGCCUAAAAUCUACCAUCUAUUGGAAGCAUAAAAAGCUGGUGAAGUUUUUUGUUUGUUUUGUGUAUUAGUUCUGUUUUUAUUAGAUUCUCAGAUUUUGUAGGUUCUUCAAACUUUAUGAUUGAUGGUGAAGUUUUUUGUUUUUUUUCAAGUUAUGUUGAGUCUUAUAUAGCUUGCUUCAAUCUUUUCCUCUAAAAAAAUGUGAAAUCUGCAAGUUCAUUGAAUAUUAGUUUCAUCUCCAUCAUCAUUUCACAAAAACAAAUCCAAUGGGUUAUUUAUUUUCAGUGUUCAGUGGAAUAGAAUGGGUUAUUCCAUUGAAAUGAAAAAAAAACAUUUGUUUUUGAGUUUGUUUUCUUCUUUAGGGUAUGUGAUUUGGGUUUUGUUCUCAUAUUAUGUGGUUUGGGUGUUAACUUUCAUAUGGGUAUCAAAAUUACUGUUUAGUUUUGAUUUUAUAAUUGUUUAAGGUUAAUACAAUUAAAUGGGCUAUCUAAGGACAAAGCGAGUUUACUAAAGUAAGCUUUUACAUAAGCUCUCUCUCUCUCUCUCUCUCUCUCUCUCUCUCUCCCUCCCUCCUGAUGCAUUAUCUAAGGCCAAAGCAACUUUACUAAAGUGUAAGGAGCUUGCAGGAAAAGAUAAAAGAAGAUCCCCUUUCUAAGCCUAAAAUCUACCAUCUAUUGGAAGCAUAAAAAGCUGGUAAAAGGAGUUCAGAAGUCUUGAACUACGGUUACUAAUUUCUCACAGUUUGUGUUUUUUGUUUUUCUGCAACAUUUUUAGAAGUUGUCAUUGCACAUUCAAGGUAAGCAACAAUUUCUAGAGAUUAUUUGGUUAUUGUGGCUGUAGAGAUGACUGAGGGACAUGAUUCAUGGUUAAACUCAUAAACAUCUUCCCAUCAAUGUUAAUUUCAUCUUGAUUUCUCAUGUAUUUGUGUUUUAUAUAUCAUAUAGAGAUUACUUUGGUUUAUUAUUUUAGGUUGCAUAAAUAAAUGAUUAUGUUGUUUUGUCGUUGUUUCUUUUGAAAUGUAAACUGGUUUUGGUGAUUUAUUAAUAUAGUUGUGUUGGUUUGAAUGUAGUAAGAAGUCAUAACACUCCAUCCAAAUAGGGAAAAUGGUAAAUUAUUACCUCUAAUGCAUUUUAUCUGGUAGCUUUUUAUAUUGUUUCCACUUUCUAUUAUCCCUAGCCAACCAUGAGUCUUGGUCUGUGCAAUGAUUUCACCAAAUUAACAUUACCAACAAGGGUACCUAAGUUGUUUUUGGAACUGUAUGUAUAUUAUUAGUGAACAACUAUUAAGAAACAAGUGGGCUUUUUUGUUAAGAUUUUCAUAUUUUCAGAAAGUUAGUUAGGACAUAAUUUGUUGCCUUGGGGAUUUUACCGUGAUAGUUUCUGUUUGGAAUUCCUUCUGUGAUUUUGACCAUUUUACCCCUAUUGGUUCUUGUUGCUUGGUUGCUGCCUUUAUAUUUUUUUGCCCCUGGUUAUUUUUUGGACUCUCAUUCAAGAUGGUGGACAUGGUAGAGCUUACUGUUGUCAAAAAUUUAGGGUAUGUUUUAAUUUGGUCCAUUUUGCCGCUUUUUUUUUCUCUCGUUUUGAAGUUAAACAUGAGAACCAAUUAAACCAGAGCAAUUUUGAUUUUCAUAGUGAAUAAUGGCUUUUCCACAAUAAACUAUUAGUAUGACUUUAAGUUCUACCAAUAAGUCCAAAAUAGACUUCCAAUUCCAAAUGGCCACCAUGUUAGAAAGAUAAAAAAAAGUUAGAAAACUUUAUAUGUGACAAAUAUACAUUGUUGGUUGACUUUUAGAGAAAUGAUCACUACAAAACACAAUAGAAUUUUGAAUUUUUAAGAGCUUGACAACCACCUUUCUUACCAAAGACUUCCACUUCGUUUCUAGCAGGUUGUUAUACUCGAAUCCGAAGCUGGUUUACUCUAAAUAGGAAACAUAUUAAAGCAUGUAUUUUCUCAUAAGAUACUUCUCUUAAGUCACUAUUUACCUACCUUGCUAUCAAGAAUAUUUGGGCUUCGGAAGUUAUAGCUUUUGGGUUUU